GAUGAACGCUGGCGGCGUGCCUAAUACAUGCAAGUCGAGCGAACCUCUUCGGAGGUUAGCGGCGGACGGGUGAGUAACACGUGGGCAACCUACCUUGUAGAUGGGGAUAACAUCGAGAAAUCGGUGCUAAUACCGAAUAACACUUUUCUCCACAUGGAGAAAAGUUAAAAGUUGGCUUUUGCUAACACUACAAGAUGGGCCCGCGGCGCAUUAGCUAGUUGGUGAGGUAACGGCUCACCAAGGCGACGAUGCGUAGCCGACCUGAGAGGGUGAUCGGCCACACCGGGACUGGAACACGGCCCAGACUCCUACGGGAGGCAGCAGUAGGGAAUCUUCCGCAAUGGACGAAAGUCUGACGGAGCAACGCCGCGUGAGUGAUGAAGGCCUUCGGGUCGUAAAACUCUGUUGUUAGGGAAGAACAAGUACCGUUCGAAUAGGGCGGUACCGUGACGGUACCUAACCAGAAAGCCACGGCUAACUACGUGCCAGCCGCCGCUGUAA
RNAcentral lists this ribosomal RNA (501 nucleotides) under uncultured bacterium. RNAcentral describes it as "partial 16S ribosomal RNA". It matches the Rfam family "Bacterial small subunit ribosomal RNA", at positions 28 to 523 of the family's 1533-position model. The record is from RNAcentral.